CAAAUUUGAAAUCCCCCCGGGGAGUUGUAAUUUGAAGAUUGCGUCUUGGAGGCGACCGUGUCUAUGUUCCUUGGAACAGGACGUCACAGAGGGUGAGAAUCCCGUGCGGCACGGCCCCCGGCUCCUUAUAAGGCGCUCUCGACGAGUCGAGUUGUUUGGGAAUGCAGCUCAAAGUGGGUGGUAAAUUCCAUCUAAAGCUAAAUACAGGCGAGAGACCGAUAGCGAACAAGUACAGUGAUGGAAAGAUGAAAAGCACUUUGAAAAGAGAGUGAAACAGCACGUGAAAUUGUUGAAAGGGAAGGGCAUGCCGUCAGAUUGUCAGUGUGGGUAAGAAGCGGGGUACAAAGACUGUGGAACGUGGCCCUCGGGUGUUAUAGCCGCAGUUCAUGCCCCGUCUCUUUCCGAGGCCUGCUUUGAGGACACCGACGUAAUGACGGUACGCCGCCCGUCUUGA
RNAcentral lists this ribosomal RNA (454 nucleotides) under Saccharomyces cerevisiae (brewer's yeast). Its description in RNAcentral is "eukaryotic LSU rRNA". It matches the Rfam family "Eukaryotic large subunit ribosomal RNA", at positions 110 to 657 of the family's 3401-position model. Lineage: Eukaryota; Fungi; Ascomycota; Saccharomycetes; Saccharomycetales; Saccharomycetaceae. The record is from RNAcentral.